GGCGUGGUGAUGUGUGGAAGCCUGAUUCAGACCUGCGUCUCUGAAUCCCCAUGGCUAGUACUGCUUUUCUUCUCAAGUCUGCUCUAUGUCCAUCUUUCAGAGGUCCUGGCCUCUCUUGCCUACUGCCUGGGGAGGAUUAGCCCACACACCUGAAGAAGUGCUGCUCAUCCUGGAUUUUCAGAUAUUCCAAUCUACGAUCCGCAUCAUUCAAAAGAGUGAGGCAAUUCUGUAUAUGGAGGAGGAAAUGGUUUGUUAAUUUAACUACUAAUCUUGAAACAAAUGCAGAUAUAAAAAUGAAUGACAACUAAAAAUAUCCUUGUAGUUAUAUAACUCAUGUGACAUAUUUAGCAUAUUAUUGUUAUUCAGAAAUACUUGUAAUUCUGAUGGUAAAAUGAUGGAAAGAAUAUGUAUACUUUGUAAACAUAAACUUUAUGUCUCUAAAACAGUUAUGUAGGAUUAUGGGGAGAUCAGAAAAGACUUAACACAUAUCAAACCAAAAUUCAUUGAGAUUUAGAUUUUUCUUAAGAGCUUACAGAAAAAUUGUUUUAGUAUGUAGUAUGAAAUUCAGUAAGUGUGCUUGUGAUCAAGAUGGAACUUGACUGCUUACUAAGAACUGAAAAUUAAAACCAAAUGUCAAAUAGAACUAUACAUUUUUGUUGAUGCUCACCCUGUCUAAGGCACUCACAAAGUUAAUUCAUUUAAAUCUUAAAAUGACCCUAAGGGAGAAACUAUUAUUUUUCUCAUUUACUCAUAAGAAAACUGUGACAAGAGAGUUAAGUGACUUGCCUUUGGUUAUUCAACUAACAGAUGUCAGAGCCAGGAUUUGAUUCUUGGCAGCAUGGCUCCAGGAGCUGCGCUCUUAACUCACGACACUACACUGCCUCUCUACGGUGACCAAAGGAGGGUACAGGAGAG
Molecule: non-coding RNA, 915 nt
Organism: Vicugna pacos (alpaca)
Lineage: Eukaryota; Metazoa; Chordata; Mammalia; Artiodactyla; Camelidae
Source: RefSeq, a predicted model, not a curated record